CUACGGGCUGCUCCAGUGGGGAAUAUUGGACAAUGGGCGAAAGCCUGAUCCAGCAAUGCCGCGUGAGUGAUGAAGGCCUUAGGGUUGUAAAGCUCUUUUACCCGGGAUGAUAAUGACAGUACCGGGAGAAUAAGCUCCGGCUAACUUCGUGCCAGCAGCCGCGGUAAUACGAGGGGAGCUAGCGUUAUUCGGAAUUACUGGGCGUAAAGCGCACGUAGGCGGCUUUGUAAGUUAGAGGUGAAAGCCCAGAGCUCAACUCUGGAAUAGCCUUUAAGACUGCAUCGCUUGAAUCCAGGAGAGGUGAGUGGAAUUCCGAGUGUAGAGGUGAAAUUCGUAGAUAUUCGGAAGAACACCAGUGGCGAAGGCGGCUCACUGGACUGGUAUUGACGCUGAGGUGCGAAAGCGUGGGGAGCAAACAGGAUUAGAUACCCGGGUAGUC
RNAcentral lists this ribosomal RNA (439 nucleotides) under uncultured bacterium. Its description in RNAcentral is "partial 16S ribosomal RNA". It matches the Rfam family "Bacterial small subunit ribosomal RNA", at positions 339 to 795 of the family's 1533-position model. The record is from RNAcentral.